CACCGAGCAGGCUUCCGUGCA
This 21-nucleotide unclassified non-coding RNA is filed under the name Mus musculus (house mouse). Its description in RNAcentral is "oocyte_clustered_small_RNA13802". Lineage: Eukaryota; Metazoa; Chordata; Mammalia; Rodentia; Muridae. The record is from RNAcentral.